Long non-coding RNA from Lonchura striata (white-rumped munia), 335 nucleotides. RefSeq lists it as uncharacterized. The record is from RefSeq and is a predicted model, not a curated record. NCBI's taxonomy places the organism in Eukaryota, Metazoa, Chordata, Aves, Passeriformes, Estrildidae.
GGCAGCCGCGGCGCCCAUGAGGACGAGCUCCCAUUUUGCGCCUGCCUCAGCCUGAGGGUUGAGGCCGCGAAGGCCUCUCUGCCCUCAGGGUCCCCUCAGCGCGGCGUCUUUCUGCCGGUCGCAUGUCUACUUUCUUGUGAAGAAAUGGAAACGGCCUGCCUACCUCCUUUUCUAAAUACUAUUUUUGUUCUCCUGGUGGCCUGGAUUCAGGAUGGAGUUAAUAUUUUUCUCCAUGACGCAGAAGGCAGAACAUGCUGAAACUUUAUGAACCCAGAAGGAUAUUCUCUAUGAUAAACAAAAACAAACUAAAAUAAAUUCUUUAAAGAACUCUGCAA